This is a long non-coding RNA of Mya arenaria, 4517 nucleotides long. RefSeq lists it as uncharacterized. Lineage: Eukaryota; Metazoa; Mollusca; Bivalvia; Myida; Myidae. The transcript has 5 exons. The record is from RefSeq and is a predicted model, not a curated record.
CUUAAUAUUAAUGAUUUCAGUGUUAGCUUUCUGCUAUAGGUUUACCGUAGAUAUUUAUAAUAAUGCUGACGGAAUACUAGUUGACAGAAUGCCUAUGCUUGUUAUUCAAUUACUGGAAGGUUAAUUAUACGCUGCAUUACAAAUGUUAAAUAUAAUUUUAAGCUAUUCAAAAAUGAAUAACUACUGCUUCUUUUAAAGUUCUUGAGUUUUAUAGCAGAGACACAAGCUGCAAGUGCACGUGUUUCAAACGAUCCAUCCACGCAGUUGUACAAUGGUUGCGAAAAUGGGUAUUGGGGACAGAACUGUAAUAUUUAAAAUGUCAAUCCCCUAAAUGUGCACGAUGUGUAAGCACAAAUGGAACAAACUGCUACACGUGUCACAGAGGCUGUAAUGGUAACACUUGUAAAUAUUUUUUGUAGAAUUCAUUGUAACAUUUGUGAUAAAAACAACGUCAACACAUGUGAUGAAGAAUGUCGAAAGUAGUGUGAUCAGUGCACUUCACGCGUAAUAGGGUACGGGGCAAAAUUAUGCGAAAAAACGUGUAUAACACAAUAUAAACGCUGCAAACGAUGGCGUCGACGUGCAAAAUACAAAAAUGGAUAUCAUGGGCUUAGACAUCAGAAUGACUGCAACUAUGCUUGUGAUAUCUGUGAUAAGGAAAAUGGCUGCAGACGAUGCAAAUAUGGUUACUAUCGAAUGAAUGGAACUUGUUAUUCAUGUCCAUAUAACUGUAAAUCGUGCGCAAAUUCUACCCUGUGCAAUUCAUGUAAGGGCGGUCGAUUUAGAAGCCGUAAAUUUGGAAACGUUUGUCAGUACCAGUGUAAGCAAUAUUGCAUAAGAGGCACUUGCAAUUCUUCGAAUUCUGUUUGCCAAUGCAGUCAAUAUUAUACUGGGGAGAAAUGUGAACAGUGUAUCACAGGCUACUAUGGCACCAACUGCAAACAUAUAUGUUCGCAAGGAUGCUCUAAAGCGUGUUCCCAAACUGAUGGAUUAUGUUCAUGCAAACCUGGUUGGACGGGAGAUAUGUGUAAUAGAUGUGACGACUUUUAUGAUGGAGAAACAUGUGAGCUUUGUAGACCUGGGCUUUAUGGCUCUGGUUGUGAACAAAGAUGUGGAAGAGGCUGCAUAAAUGACAUAUGCAAUAUAUCCUCAGGGUAUUGUCAAUGCAAAUAUGAACAUUUUGUGACACACACACCAAGCACUGAUCCCUCUGUGUACUGCAAUGAUUGUUUAUAUGGCAGAUAUGGUGAAAGAUGCGAAAACAGGUGCCGGAAGAAGUGUUACAGAUGCCAAAACAAGUCAAGUUGUAUUUUAUGUAAAGACGGAUACUUUGGGGAAGCUUGUUAAAUGCAAUGUUCAGACGGUUGCAAAAGUGGAACAUGCGAAAGGGUUGAUGGUUCAUGUUUCUCUUUAUGCAAACCUGGUUAUUUUGGAAAACAAUGUAACGUAACUUGUCCGGAAUCCUGCCAAUCAUGUUUAAAUUCUUUAAAAGGCAUCACUUGCAAAACUUGACGAAACGGUUAUUAUUCUCAUGGUAUUGGCCGGUGUACCGAAUGUAAUUCCAAAUGCUUCAGCCAGAAAUGCAAUGCAGGUGUUUAUGGGGCUGUAUAGAGGAUACUGGAACAUGACCUGUGAGAGCAAGUGUAUACCAGAAUGCCUCACUUGCAGUCAGAACGAUGGAAUGUGCAUCAAAUGCAAGAACGGUUCCAAAUAUGGACCUCAUUGCAGUUUGGAUUGUAAAAAGACAUGCAAUAACUCAGAGUGUGACAUACAAGGGGAUUGUAAAAAGACAUGCAAUAACUCAGAGUGUGACAUACAAGGGGAUUGUAAAAAGACAUGCAAUAACUCAGAGUGUGACAUACAAGGGGAUUGUACAAAUGGAUGCCUUACAAAUUCAUUCGGCAAGCAAUGUGACAACGUGUGUGAUAGUCAUUGUAUAUCGAAGGGUAACGCCACUUUGUGCUCUGAACACACGGGAAUGUGUUUAUACGGCUGUGUUGCUGAAUACCGAGGAUAGUUUUGUCCACCGGGUAAUGCGUGAACUAUAUAAUACGUUACAUCUGUAUUAGUAUAAUGAAUAAUAUAGGGACAUGCAAAGUUGUCAAUCAAUCAAGAAAACGUCCUAUUUGAGGUACAAGGUAAGGGCCUGAACGACACUAAACGGGGGACACGAACGUACAAAUAAAACACACAAGCAUUUGUAACCUCUGAGAGGUAAAUUUAUGAAACGAAUACAUGUCUUAGUUAGAAAAUACUUUUUGUUAGAAUUAAAAUACAGACAUGUUUUACUCUAGCCGUUUCUAAAGAUAAUAAUGAUUAACAUUAGUUUAUACUAGCUGAUGCAUAAAUACUAAAUUAAUACGUUUCUCAUUUGAGAUAUGGCGAUUCAAGACAUUGUGAAUAAAGAGAAUAACACGACAACAUUGGCAGCAGCACUUGGAGGAGGCAUUGGAGGUGGCAUUGCGGGACUUAUCAUUGUUUCGAUGCUGGGAUUUGUUUGGCUUCGAAGAAGGCGACUGUUCCGCAUUGAACGAAAUGAACUACAUUUAGACGCCCCUAUGAGUGAAGACCAAAUGAAUUAUGAAACAGUAGAUAAAAAUCUUCGAGAUAUUGAACUCAACAAUCUUACGUAUGGGAAUCUUCGUGUUUCGGAUGUUCAAACGAUUCACUCAACAUCUGAUUAUGUAAACGUGUCAAAAGCGAAAAGGGACAUCAGAUACGUAAUAUAUAGAUUCACCAUACGUUGAACUUGGACUGAUGCUAUAUAAUGGCACUUUUUUAUUGCUUUAAAGGGGAAUGGAAACUGUCAAAUCAAAAUAUAAUUAUUGACAACAAUAUUAUGGACUAGAUUUCAGAAGAUAAAGUUAAAAGCAUAUAUAAAUAAGGAACUGAAUACCAUUUUUAAAACACUGUAUUCUAUGAACUGCUUUAUAACGUAUGACAAUUCAUCAUCCAUGUAUUUCAACAAAAAAGAUAUAAAUCGGAACACACUCAGGCCAACACCUUAUGAUGCAUAUAAACCGCAAGAAGCGGAAAUAUUGGCAGGUGUGAGGGUGAGUGCACGGUAGCCUGCUUAAUUUUCGAAUGUGGUCAUGCUAAUUUUAUUUCAGGAAAAUUUGAAGCUCGGACCAUAGCUAUAAACUGACAUCUAUAAUGGAGUGUGUGUGCGAUGACCUAGACCAUUAUGGCACCUUUAACAGCAUCGUUCGUAAUACUGAUGGCAGCUGUGAUGUAAAAGGCUGAUAAAAGAAGUAGAACAGAUACACAACGUAUUGAUUUCAGACAUUCGAAAGUCAUAGCAAAUGCAUUAUGGUCAUAAGCUGUUUUUCGUACAUGUUCUAUUAUCCCAUGUCUUCUAGUGCUCAUUUUGACAACUUUGUCAUUUGGAAAUGUUUUGAGGUGUGUGAUAUUCUUUGAAUUUAACUCGAUACUUAUUUCAUGAAGGAUUAUUUUAUAUAUGUUUUAUUGUGAUGUUUCGCGCCUUUCAUUAAGUGUAAACCAAUAACCAUAUGCUUCUUAACACUGGAUUCUGGUCUUUCCCAUAUUAAAAUAGGUUGAUAUGUUUGCACUUUUUGAAAUUUAAGCCCGCUAUCACUUCCGAAUUGAUCGUCAGCGCGCACAGGGAUUGGAGCCAAUAUUAACGAAGUCAUUUCAGAUAUGCCGUUACGUUUACGCUAUUAAGCCCGCUAUCACUUCCGAAUUGAUCGUCAGCGCGCACAGGGAUUGGAGCCAAUAUUAACGAAGUCAUUUCAGAUAUGCCGUUACGUUUACAUAGAUAAGUAAAUAUUUCACUCGUUUUCAUGCAAACCGAGAAACAUAGCUUUUGCUUCUCAGUCUGUGAAACAUAUUACGAUCUUUCCCUGAAAUCAACAAUUAUCCCCUAUAGUCUGCAGUGGAAAUAUUAAGUGGAUAUUUAAACUGCUUGCACAUAAUUUUGUUUCAUUAUUUUAAUAAAGAUGUUUUAGUGUCCACUGUGUCGGGUUGAACAUGUUUGAAAUGAGGGCACUGAAAUGGUGUCAACACGUUUUAUUUAUCACGCGAUUUUUCAAUAAACUCCACUUAUACUAACAUUUUAGAAAUGUUGGUCUUUAAGAAACCGACAAUUUGUUAAACUUCGUCAAUAGAUAGAACUCUCACGCUGAUCAUAGAAAAUUAUAUCAGAUAAAAUCAUCUACUUAACAUCACAGUAAAUAUUUAACGAGUGGCUAAAUAAAGCUUUUAGUGGUCUCGCGAUGUAUUAUACUGCGAUCUUACCCUGAAACAAACGAUUAUCCUCUACAUAGAUAUCGACAAAGCACCUUUACCAUAAGCUGAAACAUACAUCUUAUCAAGAACAUGAAUUAUUGGUUAAAUAUAACUAAUUGGCUGCUGAUGGGGUUACAGCAGACUGACUCUUAUAUCACAAACAUACUUGAGCCCUUUCUUCAACUCAUUCGCAAUUAAGUUUACCACGUUAAUGCAUGGCAGUGCUAAAUAUUAGAAUCGCAAGAUGGUAAUUAAUAUCAAAUUUGUCUUGU